This 2785-nucleotide unclassified non-coding RNA is filed under the name Haliotis rubra (blacklip abalone). RNAcentral describes it as "sperm flagellar protein 1-like, transcript variant X2". Lineage: Eukaryota; Metazoa; Mollusca; Gastropoda; Lepetellida; Haliotidae. The record is from RNAcentral.
UUGGAGGUUAUAGUGCCGCGAAUACUUCUAUCGAUUAGUACUAUCGUUACCAGACGACGGGCACGCUGUGAGCAGAAAUGACAGUGGUUGUUAACAAUGUAGAACAGUUUUAUCGUAUGAUUGUUCUAAACACACCGCUUGAUUUCCGUGGCACGGAUAUUCUGGGAAAUGAAAGCGCCGUUUAGAUAUGACGGAAUAUAUUUUAGCCAAAAAAAGUUUGAAUGGAGUUACCCGAAUGGAAAUGGACGAUUAUUUUGCCGAUUCCGAGAUUGAGAACCUUUACAGUUGGCUGGACAGGAUAGAAUUUUCCCGACCGAAGAAAAAUGUUGGGAAGGAUUUUUCCGAUGGAGUGCUGGUCGCGGAGGUGGUGCACCAUUACUUCCCCAGACUGGUGCAGCUGCACAACUAUGCACCGGCCAGCGCACCCAAACAGAAGAUGGAGAACUGGUACUACCUCAACAGGCGUGUGUUAAAGAAGCUUGACCUUGAUCUCUCCGAUGACAUCAUCAGAUCACUCUCCUACUGCAAGUCUAAAGUGGCGGAGAAAGUACUGAUGAUGCUUCGUCUCCAGAUAGACAGAGCUCUGGAAAAAUCUGUCACUUUCUCAAAACGAUUUCCAAAUAACAACUUGUCACAGUCCAUGGAUAAUAUGGAGUUUUUAGUCAGCCCACGGCUACUGCCCCUGAGCUCAAAUGGCUCUCAACAAGGAAAGUCCAACUUGUCUCCGAGGCGCCGGAUUCCACACACCAGGAGGGAAUCUUACACCUCCAACAAGCCUCUGAUUGCUCCAAUAAUGGACAAUGUACCUCGGGCAUUGGUGGAGGAGAAACAGCAGGAAGCAGCUGCAAAGGAGGAAACAAUUCAGAUUAUGAAUGCAAAGAUACGUCGAUUGGAGCACUUACUAAGUUUAAAAGAUGUGAGAAUUGAAGAUUUAGAAACACGUCUUAGUAAUCUACAACAAUCACAGUUGACUCAACACACUGGAAGACUGUAGUCAUGACGACCCCCAGGAUCCAUCUACCCAGGGCACCUGUGACAUCGGCGGGGAGUGUGUGCAGGAGACUAUGGGUGGUUGACACUCUGUGUGGGGAGGUGCUCUGCAGAGGGAACACUGAUCAGUAACAGAGAAAUGAUAUUUGAAGGAUAAAUUGAACUGGAAGUGAAAAUAUUUACACGUUGUUUACAGAACAGUUUACUGUUUGUUUCAAUGGAUAAAUGUGUUUACUUAUGAACUGUGGACUGUUUGCUACGCAACAUUCAUGAGCUGCCUUUAAUACAUGUUGUUAUUCUAAUGUAUUUUGUAGUUUUUGUUCAGAUUUAUGGUAUUUGAAGUUGAAUUGAUCAUAUAAUCAGGGUAUUGAGAUGUGAGAUACAGUGGAUGGACUCUGUCAUCUGUGUAGACUACAGGCUACAGUAUGACACAAGGCUGCAUGAUUCUUUUCUUCACAGUGCGCCUUGGAUUUCACCAUGCUACGAUCACUAGCUAAUCACCAUACAAAUCAAUAAGGCUUUCUUAAAAGAAUUUACUCAAAUACUUUAUGCCUGUAAUGAAAUUUUUGACCACUUUAUUAAACAUGUUUGAAUACCUUGCUGUUAAUCUCAUCAAGCAUGAACUGCUUACUUGUUCUGCAUGCACCAACAUAUUAUGACAGACAUUAUUUGUAAAUUCAAAUCAUGGAAGGAGUAUUGAAGUGCUUGAGCAAUGUCACUUUUUUAAGUUUGAAUUUUCACCAUCAUGGAUUAGUUAUUGUGUUAUUGAGCAAAACAAAUCAAAGUAUAUCAUGAGUAGAUUUUGCAUUAUCUUAGUUCUAAGAUCAGUUUACCAGCAUUAGUUACUGUUGUUUGUUUAUACUGAGUGGAAUAUUUGUUAAUGUGUAAAAUUUGAUGUUUCAUUUGCCCUUUCCUUUAUCGAGUUCCCGAUAGUUUGUUAUGUUCAGUUUAAUGUUAAUUGUUGUUAGUACAACAAAGACAUACAAGUUGAUAGGAAGAUUUCAGAUGUAGUGCUUUUGAUUCAUCAUUGUGCUUUUUAUUAAACAGGAUUAUUAAAUAAUGAAUGUAUUUGCCAAGCUUGAUACCGUAAAUCAAACAAGAAAUAGUGGUUAGUUGUUAUUUACUGAUUAUUGAGGUAGAUAAAGUAUGAAUAGCUAGAUAUGUUUCUAUCAGUCUGUAUUGACAGUCACAAACAUAUGUGAUAUAUACAUUAAUUAGGUCUAAGUGUAGUAUAGGUAAAACACGAUUAUCAUCCACAUUCACUCUGAGCCCACCGACCUACUUGUUUGUGAUUUGCAUUUGUUGGACUCAAUUUCAAGGAAAAUGUUUGCCAAAAUUGUCAGUUACCUCAACUUGUUCUUUCUUAAAACCCAUGUUUUAUGUCAUAAUAGGGGUCUUUGUGAUCAGGGUCCAUUUUCACAAAGCAUUAUUAGUGCAACGACUAUCUUAAGGCCAUGUUAUUGGGUAUGAGCUACAAUCAUCGUAGUGCUAAGAUCGCUCUGUGUGAGUAGACGCAGGUUGAUAGCAUAUGCUCAUAAUAUCAAUGACUUGAAUCUCUGAUUUACAGCCUGUUAUAAUUUAGUUGGAAUAUCUGCUGAGUCUGCAUUAAAUAAAAUAUUAAAAUAUAAAUCGACUAGAUACUCACUUUUUAAAGGAAGAUUUGGAUGAUAAUCUGACAGUUGAUCUAUAUUGGCCUUACAUAACAACUUACCAACAUGUUUUACAUAAACUCAAGUUUGAUGAGAUUCAGUCUAAGUAAACUUAGGCUCAGUAUUAUUUGUUUCACUGCUAUACU